UGCCUUGUGGGAGAUAACACAUAUCUCCGAAUUCAAAGGAUGCCACUAUGGCAACUGGAAGAGAACUGACGGCAAUUAAAUAUGCGUAAUGAUAAAAAUGUCGGAUUUACAGAAAAAUGACAAGUUAAGCUGUUGACAGAAAAAAGAAAAAAGUUGAUUAUUCCACGCCUGGACCAGAUUGGCUGGCUUGCCGACGGUCAUUAAAACCACGGAAUACCUCUGAGAUGCUGUACCCAGCAAGAAACAUCAUUAUGGCAUCUGGGGCAAGCUUAUCAGUAUCUGGUCUUGGAUUACAAAGCAGGAAUGAGUACAAAAAACGCACAGCUGGUCACAGCAUAGACUGGUACAUCUUGUCUGGAAAGGAAUGUGACAAACCUGUGUCCCUGUUGGAAACCAUCUUACCUGCAUAAUCCUCGGUACCAUAGUCAUCGGUGGGGUCUUCUACUCGGCUAUAGCGGACACGUUCUACUUUAGGAAACUCAUUGGUUG
Long non-coding RNA from Mirounga angustirostris (Northern elephant seal), 489 nucleotides. RefSeq lists it as uncharacterized. The record is from RefSeq and is a predicted model, not a curated record. The transcript has 3 exons. NCBI's taxonomy places the organism in Eukaryota, Metazoa, Chordata, Mammalia, Carnivora, Phocidae.